Molecule: long non-coding RNA, 195 nt
Organism: Oncorhynchus kisutch (coho salmon)
Lineage: Eukaryota; Metazoa; Chordata; Actinopteri; Salmoniformes; Salmonidae
Exons: 2
Source: RefSeq, a predicted model, not a curated record
UACUGUCCCGUUGGAGGAGGAAGGGAAGACUGGAGAUCUGAUUAACACCAGAGAAAGACCAGACUCAGAGGAACCAGAGACGUCCAAACCCGCAAGAGGACGCAACUGUUCCCACUGUGGAAAGGGUUUUAACCAGUUAGGGGACCUGAAACGACAUGAGAGGACACACACAGGCAAUAAACCUUUCCAAUGCUC